Long non-coding RNA from Macaca fascicularis (crab-eating macaque), 1769 nucleotides. The record is from Ensembl. Lineage: Eukaryota; Metazoa; Chordata; Mammalia; Primates; Cercopithecidae.
CAGUUGUCUUAUUUCCUAGUUCUCCCCUGCAAACUACUCUGCCUACAGUCUAGGGUGUAUCUUCAUUAGAUCCACAAAUCUCUUCCCCAUUGCCUUUCACCACAAUUUCCUCUGUUCUUAAGGGCACCAUUAAAUUUAAACUACUUUAUACUUUGUUGCAAAUGACAAGAUUAGGAGCUAUCUGUUUGAAACAGGGCUCUAAGGCUCGGGAUAAUGGCAAGCUUUUCUCUGAGUGACACUUCUGCCCUAGGAGCUUGGUUGGAGCGGGUAGAGUGGCAGGCGAUGAUGCGGUAGCCUGAGGUCUCCUUACCUGCCUCUUCUGGCAUGGAACCACGCCUUCAGGAACCAGAGGAAGGGCUCUUUUCUCAGUAUUCUCAAAAUAUCAUACCCAAGGUAGAGUCUCCAUUCCAUAAGUGGAGUUGGGCGGGAAGGGUCUUCCCACGUUUCAGCUGCACUCAACUGGGACUUGGCCUCAGCAACAGGCAGCAGGGACAGGAUGAGAAAACUAAAGUCCUGCUCCUGUACCUCACUGGGAGCUAGGUGUUCUUGACUGCAGGAAUCUGGAGUAGAUGCUCAGUCCACCCUCACUGAGCUGGGAGAAAGGAGGGAGGGACCAGUCUUGGUUCAAAUACCAGACUCUCUUCCCUCUCUUACCAAAUUUUUGUAGAUAUUCCUGAAUAGAUGUUUCUUUUGCCAUUUGCUCUCAGGGCCAUUACUAGAGACUUUAAAUGUGUGUGUGCACAUGUGCAUGUGUGUGUUUGUGUGUUUUAAUAAUUUUUACCAGUCUGUAACACAGUUUUUCUCCAUAAACUAAAAUAUUCUGAUAGGUAGAAUGGAUAGAUGGGCUAAGAAAUGAAUUUUUUCAGCUGAGCAGUGGCUCACGCCUGUAAUCCCAGCACUUUGAGAGGUUGAGGUGAGUGAAUUGCUUGGGGCCGGGAGUUCCGAGAUCAACCCUGGCCAACAUGGCAAAACCCCAUCUCUACUAAAAAUACAAAAGUUAGCCAGGCAUGGUGGUACAAUUCCUGUAGUCCCAGCUACUCAGGAGGCAGAGGCAGAAGAAUUGCUUGAACCCAGGAGGCAGAGGUUGCAGUGAGCCGAGAUCACACCACUGUACUCCAGCCUGGGUGAUGAGGCGAGACUCUGUCUCAAAAAUAGAAUUUUUUCUAAGGUAAAAGGAUGUACCUUAAUCAGGUUUGUCAUCAAACAUCCAAGCCUUUAGCAUUGACUUUGCCCUUUGCUUUUACACAACUCUGAUCUUGUGUCCUCCUUCUGUUAUGUAUAAAUUUGCUUUGUCUCCAUUCUUGCUUUCCAGCUAUUUUAGAAUUGAUUCUCAUAUCCUGGCCUAUCUAUUAAAUGCCUCUCUUCUAUUUUGAAAUAAUAUACUUCUUCAUUCAGUCAAAAACAUUUGUUGAAUGCCCCUAUGUGUUAUGCCCCAGGCUACAUGCUAAGCAUAGACAAAUAAGAUACAGUUCCAUAGUUUCUGCUCCCUUGAAAGAGCACAGAAGUAAGUCACAGCACUGUGUAGUAAGUAUAACACUGUAUUGCAGAAAAGUGUAGAUUGAAGUGUGGACAAAUACUAUAGAAGCCUAGAAUCCUUAGCUUUGUCCUGGGAAGGAUGGGAAAGACAACAGCAAAAAGGUGAAACGUCAGCCUUCUUCUUUGUCAUAAUGCUCUGUUUUCCCUUUUCCCUAGAAGAGCUGCCUCCAGAGGUAGGGUAUGUUAAAUGAUGUAUUGAAGUACAGAAAUAGCUAGACUUUCUAUUUAUGUAU